UGGGGAAUAUUGGACAAUGGGCGAAAGCCUGAUCCAGCCAUGCCGCGUGUGUGAAGAAGGUCUUCGGAUUGUAAAGCACUUUAAGUUGGGAGGAAGAGCAGUAAAUUAAUACUUUGCUGUUUUGACGUUACCGACAGAAUAAGCACCGGCUAACUCUGUGCCAGCAGCCGCGGUAAUACAGAGGGUGCAAGCGUUAAUCGGAAUUACUGGGCGUAAAGCGCGCGUAGGUGGUUCGUUAAGUUGGAUGUGAAAUCCCCGGGCUCAACCUGGGAACUGCAUUCAAAACUGUCGAGCUAGAGUAUGGUAGAGGGUGGUGGAAUUUCCUGUGUAGCGGUGAAAUGCGUAGAUAUAGGAAGGAACACCAGUGGCGAAGGCGACCACCUGGACUAAUACUGACACUGAGGUGCGAAAGCGUGGGGAGCAAACAGG
RNAcentral lists this ribosomal RNA (429 nucleotides) under uncultured Pseudomonas sp. RNAcentral describes it as "bacterial SSU rRNA". It matches the Rfam family "Bacterial small subunit ribosomal RNA", at positions 355 to 776 of the family's 1533-position model. Lineage: Bacteria; Pseudomonadati; Pseudomonadota; Gammaproteobacteria; Pseudomonadales; Pseudomonadaceae. The record is from RNAcentral.